AUUUAUAUAGUUUACUUAAAACAUUACACUUUCACCGUAAAGAUGAGCUUAGCUCUAUAAAUA
RNAcentral lists this transfer RNA (63 nucleotides) under Vietnamella sp. MT-2014. RNAcentral's name for it is "tRNA-Glu". Lineage: Eukaryota; Metazoa; Arthropoda; Insecta; Ephemeroptera; Ephemerellidae. The record is from RNAcentral.